CUGCGCCGCUCGGACUAGGGGAGUCGGGCGGACGACGGGAGCGCGCGCGCCAGGGGCGGAGCGAGGUAGGGGCUACGCCCCCCGGCGCCCCGCGGGGCCGCCCACCAUGCCGCCCCAACGCCCUGGAUCCGGCCGGGAAUGAGGGGGUUUCAGCCCAGGCAGCAUGUCCUGAAGGUCUUCCCUGAAGUCUGCACUCUAGAUUAGCUGGCGGUCCUGCUGUGUGGUGCCAUAGUUUCAUAGAUACGCCUUUUUCAAGCCCUCCUCACUGUGAAUUGCUAUAAGAGAAUAAAAGACCAUGCCUUGAAUUCUCUCAGCUAAACAUACUGCAUUCCAUCAAAGAUUUGUUUUCUCCCCAAAUGGACAUUGUUUUGAUGAUGUAUACAAGAAACAAUCCUUCCUGUGCUGAGCCACUGUUUGGGCAGAAUAACUCACUUAAUGUUAAUUUCAAUACAAGCAAGAAAACAGUCUGGAUUAUUCAUGGAUACAGACCAAUGGGCUCCACUCCUAAAUGGCUUCAGAACUUUCUAAAGGUUUUGUUGAAUCACGAGGAUCUGAAUGUAAUUGUCGUAGACUGGAACCGGGGUGCUACAACUUUUAUUUACAACAGAGCAGUUAAAAACAUCAGAAAAGUUGCUGCUACUUUGGGUACAUACAUUCAGAUUCUUUUGAACCAUGGAGCGACUCUUGAUAAUUUUCAUUUCAUAGGUAUGAGCUUAGGGGCUCAUGUUAGUGGAUUUGUUGGAAAGAUAUUUCAAGGUCAACUUGGAAGAAUAACAGGUCUUGACCCAGCUGGGCCAAAGUUCUCUGGACAGCCAUGUGAUCUCAGAUUAGAUUACACUGAUGCAAAGUUUGUGGAUGUCAUCCAUUCUGAUAUCAAUGGUUUAGGCAUUAAUGAACCUUUGGGACAUAUAGAUUUUUAUGCAAAUGGAGGAAAAAAGCAACCUGGCUGUCCCAAAUCCAUUUUUUCAGGCAUUGCAUUUAUUAAAUGCAGUCACCAGAGAGCCGUUUACUUGUUCAUGGCAUCUUUGGAAACAACCUGCAAUUUUAUUUCAUUUCCUUGUCCUUCAUACAAAGAUUUCCAUGCUGGUUCAUGUGUGGACUGUGACGACUUCAAGGAAAAAUCAUGUCCUAGGCUAGGUUAUCAAGCUGAGCUAUGGAAAGAUGUUUUAAAAGAAAGAAAAGAAAAAAGAUUUCUCAGGACCACUGUGUUUUUGGAUACUACUGGCACAAAACCAUUCUGCAGCUAUUAUUUUGUUCUCAGUAUAACUGUUCUGGAUAACAAUAUGAAAAAUGGCUGUAUUACAUUUAAGUUAUUAAACCAGCUUGGAAUGGUUGAAGAGCCAAGGGUCUAUGAGAAGAACAGAUCAUUUUAUCAACUUCAAGAAGUCAAGAUUCUUGCUCAGUUUUCAAAUGAUGUUGUAAAUAUUUCAGGCAUUGGUUUGGGAUAUUUUCAGAGCUCAAAUUGGCAAUGUUUCCAAUGUAAUUACAACAUCCACCGUGUCAUGGUACAAUCACUUACCUAUCCAGAAAGGGAACUAGCACACAUGGAAGGGAUUUUUUAGGUGCAUGUUUUGUAUGAUGUAUACCAUUUAAAGGAAAAUUCUUAUGUACCAAGGAAAGAUGACUUCUUUGAAGAGACCACCACUUUGCAUAUAUAAUUUUGUUCUUAAAGGAAAUGAGGAAUUAUUUCUCAAUCCAAGCACAUGCACAUCAGGAUUUGGUUUGUGAUUAAAGAACUUGUAAAUGGGGACAAUGUAAUCAGCAUUUCUUUAUGAAGGCAUUGUUCAAUCUGGGAUUCACAUAUUUCUACUUCCUGAAUAAAUUUUAAAAAUAAAAAAUAUAGAAAAAUGUUAAAAUGCAUAUAGUAAAGCAUUCUGAAUAUAUUCUAAAAGCUAUUUAUCUCUGUUUACCUCAAUCAAAUGUUUAUCGUUAAAUGUUUCCCUUAAUUACUUAAUAGAUAAUAUAUCUUUAGAAAAAAGAGAAGCCUAUUGUUUCAAUACACUGUCUAAACUAUCAUUUUCUACUUGUCAAACUGCAGUCAUAAAAGAAGUAUUUUUAAUUGUAAAUUUGUCACUUGGAGAAGUCACUUGGAUUAAUGUAAAUUUGGUAAACAUAAAUACACCUUGUGUUUAGUGAUCUAUUUGGCAUUUAGAGAUAUAUUUGAUUUAUUUGGCACUGUAAAUAAAUUUAUUUCUAUGGAGCACAGUAAUAUAUGGGUCUGUAAUGUUUAAGAUCAGACUUUGGGUCCACCUACUGAUGGUGUGAACUUGAGUAGCUAAACUUCAUCAUGUUUCAGUCACCUAAGAAUUUUUGUGAAGAUUGAGUCAAUAUUUUGACUGGUGUCUUUUCAAAUUAGUAUAAUAAUAAUAAGAAAUACAUAAUGAAAAUAAUAAUAAAAAUACUGAUAGUUAACACUUACAUACAUCCCUGUAUUGCUACACAGUUUAAUAACACAUAUAUCAAUUCAUUUAAUCCUUACAAAAACCCUAUGAGAUUGACCUCGUUAUUUCUGCUGAUAAAGACAUUGAGGGAUUCCUGGGCCUCCACUCUCUCACUUAUGUCUGAAUACUCCCAAGGUUUGUUUCAUGUGUGUUUAUAAACCAAUAUGUCAACUACAGUCACAGUCCGUGUGUUUUGACUUCCUGCUAUAUUAGUUUGCUACAGCUUCCACAGCAAAAUACCACAGAAUGGGUGACUUAAACAACAUAAAUUUAUUUUCUCACAGUCAUGGAGGCUGGAAGUCUAAGAUCCAGGUGUCAGUAGGCUUCAUUUAUUCUGAGGCCUCUCUCCUUGACAUGCAGAUGGCUGUCUUCUUGCUGUUUCCCCACAUGGUCUUUGUUCUGUGCAUGAUGUCUCUUCCAUGUGUCUGAAUUUCCUCUUAUGAAGACACCAGUCCAGUUGGAUGAGGGUCUACCCUAAAGGACUUAUUUAAAUUUAAUCGCUUCUUUGCAGACCCCCAACUCCAAAUAUAGUCGCAGUCUGAGGUGCUGAGGGUUAGGCUUUCAGCAUAUGAAUUUGGCGGUGGUGGGGGUGGUGGUGGAAGGGAGUGGGGUCAGGAGGCACAGUUCAGUCCAUAAUGCCUGCUAUGACUCAUUAGCUCCACAAUGAUGACCUUUGCCUGAUAAGCCAUUUGAAGAUUAAUUGGGGUCAUUUUUGUUGCCCAUCUGGAAAACACUGAUGUGUGAAGACUCUUGAUGUACUAGAUGAGUGUUCCAGGCAGAAACAAGUAGAAGUCUCCUCACUUUUUGUCCAGGGAUUUAAUUAGUGCAUCCUGUACCUCAACUGAUAGUCCUUUUUGAAAACAGCGCCUUCAGGUUUUGUCUCAGCCUUCACCACACAGGCCUCUGACUCAAGUCUGCAGAGACACCUGUUUGCUCCUCUCUGUCUCUGAGGUGUCUGCUCACAGUCUUAAACAAAACUACAAACCCUCAUGUAAUUGCUAAUCCUCUCUAAUUAAUUUGCCAGAUAUUCCCAGCAACUUUUGGAUCUGUUUGUGAUGGGAAUGACAUUUAAAAUUAAAUGUCAAUAAAUGCACUACAGAUAAAUUAUGAGGACCAGAAAUUCUGUUCCAGUAUUCCAGUUGCUUAGGGUUUCUGGAUAAUAGAGAAACUGAUAGCAUUUUCAUGGCUCCUGUAACCUUUAUAAUAAAACACUUUGCCACAGGUGAUAGACUCUCCCAAGGAUAACUUGGAGACACAAGCUUAUAAAAUGUUUAUAGGUUUCCAUAUUAUAAUAUCUUUCAGGAUUCUAAUUAUUCCCAUUUUUUAAAAGAUAAAAACAGAGAAGGGAAGAAGGCUGUGACUCCUCUGACCUCAAGUUCAUAGUCCUUAAGCAACAUUUUUUAUCCUACUUUUUUUUUUAAAUUUGUGGAAAUCAUAGAUCAAAAAUAAAAGGGGAAAAAUGUGCUUUUUGGAGGAUUAUGGUGAAGCACAGGUAUUCUAUAGCAAUAAUCAGGGACAACAAAAGGAACAAAUAAGAAUUAUGCACAAAAUAUGUUACACCAUGAUGCUUUGAAGGCAUGCUGUUCUGGAACAGAUAGAAAAGGAAACAGAGAUGAGAUGUUUAAUUUCUAUCUUUCAUGAUGCUUACUUGGCAUGAAUCACAGAAUCAGACUCAACCCUGUCUUUCAAAGUCCUUUCAACAAUGCAGUUUGGUUAUUUUUAGGUUAGUUUUAGGAUUUAUCUAAUUAAAUAAUAUAUUACAAUUUUAUUGACGUGUCUUCUUGUGUUUCCAUGGAAUAAUAAAUUUUAUACUUAAAAAAAUCACCAGCAAAGCAACAAAUCAUACCUUUGUUCCAAUAAUGGUUGACUGAAAUGAGGAGUAAAUAUAAUCCUCAGCAAACUGUAUUUUGUU
RNA transcript from Acinonyx jubatus (cheetah), 4353 nucleotides. It is a transcript of the gene named lipase I, with no coding region annotated. The transcript has 12 exons. Lineage: Eukaryota; Metazoa; Chordata; Mammalia; Carnivora; Felidae. The record is from RefSeq and is a predicted model, not a curated record.